This is a non-coding RNA of Podarcis lilfordi (Lilford's wall lizard), 69 nucleotides long. Lineage: Eukaryota; Metazoa; Chordata; Lepidosauria; Squamata; Lacertidae. The record is from the annotation of a GenBank genome assembly.
GCACAGCUCAGUUGGUAGAGGAUGAGGCUCUUAAUCUAAGGGUUGUGGGAUCAAGCCCCACGUUGGGCA